Molecule: long non-coding RNA, 246 nt
Organism: Helianthus annuus (common sunflower)
Lineage: Eukaryota; Viridiplantae; Streptophyta; Magnoliopsida; Asterales; Asteraceae
Exons: 4
Source: RefSeq, a predicted model, not a curated record
AAUCGAAUGCAUGAGCUAAGAAUUCUGAUUAUCUAAGUAUUCUUGAUCUCAAGAAUCAUGUCAAAAUGGUUGAGAGCAUGGAAGGCUAACGGGCUAAGAAGACUCAAGUAAAACAAACGCAAAUACGGACGCACAAGAAUGAAAUAGGGAAUGCAGGUAUACUCGUGAUGGAAGUUGAAGGUUGUACAGAACUGUGGAUUCUCACCAUGGAGUGUAAAAGGUUGAAGAUCGAGUCAAGAGAUGGAU